Molecule: ribosomal RNA, 254 nt
Filed under: uncultured bacterium
Lineage: Bacteria
Description: partial 16S ribosomal RNA
Rfam family: Bacterial small subunit ribosomal RNA
Source: RNAcentral
UACGUAGGGGCCUCGCGUUGUCCGGCUUUAUUGGGCGUAAAGAGCUCGUAGGCGGUUCGGUAAGUCAGGUGUGAAAUCUCCACGCUCAACGUGGAGGCGCCACCUGAAACUGCCGUGACUCGAGUCCGGUAGGGGAGUGUGGAAUUCCUGGUGUAGCGGUGAAAUGCGCAGAUAUCAGGAGGAACACCAGUGGCGAAGGCAGCUCGCUGGGACGCGACUGACGCUGAGACGCGAAAGCGUGGGGAGCAAACAGG